RNAcentral lists this ribosomal RNA (513 nucleotides) under Triticum aestivum (bread wheat). RNAcentral's name for it is "partial small subunit ribosomal RNA". The record is from RNAcentral. Lineage: Eukaryota; Viridiplantae; Streptophyta; Magnoliopsida; Poales; Poaceae.
AUGGCGACUAGAGACGGGUCUCGCGACCACGGCGCCGGAGGCGGCCGGCGUGUCGGAGGACGCUUCUGGGCGCUAUUGGAGAGUGACGAGGAGGAGGAUGCUGACGAUGGCCUGCAUCUGGACGUCGGCUCGCCGGCGACGGCGUCCCCUACGCCUUCAGAUCAUAUUUGCGAGGCGUUUCAGAGUGGAUAUUCGGAGGAGGAAGUUGCGCGGCUGGUAGAUGAGGUGAUCCCGCAGGAUGAUCCGGCGAGGAUUGGACUGGAGAAGACGGAGAGGAUCGAGAUCGCUCGGCGCGUCGUGCACCGGAGGACGGCGGCAACGGCGAUCCGGCCAUGGCGUGGUCCUCUUCCAAAGGUUGUAUUCCGAGCUACGGCGUUGAUCCGUAUGUGGUCCCUACUCACUCCGACGGAGGCCAGGGAGCGUUUGGUUACUGGAUCUGUCCGGUGGGAGAUGGUAGCGCGGGAUAUAUUCAACCGGUUUGGAUGGCGGUCAUGUAAUAGGAUUGGCAAUUAG